UCUUAGGACCUUCUCAAAUGUCCUCUUCUCAAAUUUUCUCUUACUGAAAAGAUAUUCUUCACAUUACUUUCCAUGAUCUUCACACUUCAGGUCUUGACUCAAAAGUCAUCUCCUCAGAAAUGCCUUCCUGAUACCUUAUCUAAACAGGGUCUCACUCCACUGCCCAGGUUGGAGGGCUGUGGUGUAAUCACCUCUCACUGUCUCACUGCAGCCUUGACUGCUUGGAUUCAAGUGAUCAUACUGCCUCAGCCCCCUGAGUACCUGGGACCACGAGCAUGUACCACUAUGCCCAACUAAUUUUUAAAUUUUGUUUAGAAUGGGAUCUCACUUUGUUGCCCAGACUGGACUCAACCUCCUGAGCUUAAGUGAUCCUUUCACCUUGCUUCCUAAAGUGCUGGGAUUACAGGUAGAAGCCACACCACCUGGCUGAAUUAACAUUCUUAAUGCUUUGGAAAAGUAAGAGGCAGUUACUCUCAAACAAAAAUAAAAUUUAUGGUAAUCCAUCAUACUUGGUAAUAUGAUUUGGAUUUGCAUCCCCACACAAAUCUCAUGUCAAAUUAUAAUCUCCAGUGUUGGAGCAGGG
RNAcentral lists this long non-coding RNA (583 nucleotides) under Homo sapiens (human). Its description in RNAcentral is "HSALNT0190329". The record is from RNAcentral. Lineage: Eukaryota; Metazoa; Chordata; Mammalia; Primates; Hominidae.